UACGAAGGGUGCAAGCGUUAAUCGGAAUUACUGGGCGUAAAGCGCGCGUAGGUGGUUCAGUAAGUUGGAAGUGAAAUCCCCGGGCUCAACCUGGGAACUGCUUUCAAAACUGCUGAGCUAGAGUACGGUAGAGGGUGGUGGAAUUUCCUGUGUAGCGGUGAAAUGCGUAGAUAUAGGAAGGAACACCAGUGGCGUAGGCGACCACCUGGACUGAUACUGACACUGAGGUGCGAAAGCGUGGGGAGCAAACAGG
RNAcentral lists this ribosomal RNA (253 nucleotides) under uncultured bacterium. RNAcentral's name for it is "partial 16S ribosomal RNA". It matches the Rfam family "Bacterial small subunit ribosomal RNA", at positions 524 to 776 of the family's 1533-position model. The record is from RNAcentral.